This 696-nucleotide long non-coding RNA is filed under the name Homo sapiens (human). Its description in RNAcentral is "RPH3AL antisense RNA 1, transcript variant 3 (RPH3AL-AS1)". The record is from RNAcentral. Lineage: Eukaryota; Metazoa; Chordata; Mammalia; Primates; Hominidae.
ACAGCUGUCCUUCACUCGCACGGAGCAACCUCGGGACAGAUGGUGGGAGAGGAAGGGCAACUCGAGGAGGCACAUUUUAGGAAACUGCCCACGGAGCCAGUUUCGAUUCUCCAAACCUCGUCAGCAUGCAGAGGCUCCCUGACUCGGCAGCAAGGAGGGCCUCAUCAGCCGACCCCCAUGCCCGGCACCCCCUUCACCAGGUCCUGAAAACUCCAGAGAGCAGUGCCCUGUGCAUUAAACACAGACUGCGCCCUUGUACUCAGGAGGAUGCAAUUCUCUCUCUAAAGUCGAGAGCUCACCACCCCGGGCGUUCGUCACUGCAGACAUCACUGCAGACACAGAGACGGCCAUUAGAGCUCACCACCCCGGGCGUUCGUCACUGCAGACAUCACUGCAGACACAGAGAAGGCCAUUAGAGCUCACCACCCCGGGCGUUCGUCACUGCAGACAUCACUGCAGACACAGAGACGGCCAUUAUGCAGCCUCACGUGGUCACUCCUGGGGGCGGUAGGAUAUUUUAUCCUAAAGAGAAAACACCUUAAAUUCUCACAUCAGCCACCCCCAUGGCGACUCUUAACACCUUAAUGUAGCACCUUCCAACUUUUCCUGGGCAUUUAUGUACAAAUUGUAAUAAAAUUGGGUUCUUACUGCAUACGCUGCUUGCUGGUUUCUAAAUAAAAUUGGGUUCUUACUAUA